UGGACAGGCACUGAAGUCAUG
This 21-nucleotide unclassified non-coding RNA is filed under the name Mus musculus (house mouse). RNAcentral's name for it is "oocyte_clustered_small_RNA11958". Lineage: Eukaryota; Metazoa; Chordata; Mammalia; Rodentia; Muridae. The record is from RNAcentral.